This 459-nucleotide ribosomal RNA is filed under the name uncultured bacterium. RNAcentral describes it as "partial 16S ribosomal RNA". It matches the Rfam family "Bacterial small subunit ribosomal RNA", at positions 338 to 795 of the family's 1533-position model. The record is from RNAcentral.
CCUACGGGGGGCAGCAGUGAGGAAUAUUGGUCAAUGGCCGAGAGGCUGAACCAGCCAAGUCGCGUGAGGGAAGACGGCCCUACGGGUUGUAAACCUCUUUUGUCGGGGAGCAAAGCGAGUCACGUGUGACUCAUUGAGAGUACCCGACGAAAAAGCAUCGGCUAACUCCGUGCCAGCAGCCGCGGUAAUACGGAGGAUGCGAGCGUUAUCCGGAUUUAUUGGGUUUAAAGGGUGCGCAGGCGGAGGUGCAAGUCAGCGGUCAAAUUGCGGGGCUCAACCCCGUACUGCCGUUGAAACUGCAGCCCUUGAGUGCGCGAGAAGUAUGCGGAAUGCGUGGUGUAGCGGUGAAAUGCAUAGAUAUCACGCAGAACUCCGAUUGCGAAGGCAGCAUACCGGCGCGCAACUGACGCUCAUGCACGAAAGCGUGGGUAUCGAACAGGAUUAGAUACCCCUGUAGUC